This 248-nucleotide ribosomal RNA is filed under the name uncultured Lachnospiraceae bacterium. RNAcentral describes it as "partial 16S ribosomal RNA". It matches the Rfam family "Bacterial small subunit ribosomal RNA", at positions 524 to 771 of the family's 1533-position model. The record is from RNAcentral. Lineage: Bacteria; Bacillati; Bacillota; Clostridia; Lachnospirales; Lachnospiraceae.
UACGUAGGGGGCAAGCGUUAUCCGGAUUUACUGGGUGUAAAGGGAGCGUAGACGGCAAGGCAAGUCUGAUGUGAAAGGUCGGGGCCCAACCCCGGGACUGCAUUGGAAACUGUCUGGCUGGAGUACAGGAGAGGUAAGUGGAAUUCCUAGUGUAGCGGUGAAAUGCGUAGAUAUUAGGAGGAACACCAGUGGCGAAGGCGGCUUACUGGACCGUAACUGACGUUGAGGCUCGAAAGCGUGGGGAGCAA